RNAcentral lists this ribosomal RNA (531 nucleotides) under uncultured bacterium. Its description in RNAcentral is "bacterial SSU rRNA". It matches the Rfam family "Bacterial small subunit ribosomal RNA", at positions 777 to 1304 of the family's 1533-position model. The record is from RNAcentral.
AAUAGAUACCCGGGUAGUCCACGCCGUAAACGAUGAGUGCUAAGUGUUAGAGGGUUUCCGCCCUUUAGUGCUGCAGCUAACGCAUUAAGCACUCCGCCUGGGGAGUACGGCCGCAAGGCUGAAACUCAAAGGAAUUGACGGGGGCCCGCACAAGCGGUGGAGCAUGUGGUUUAAUUCGAAGCAACGCGAAGAACCUUACCAGGUCUUGACAUCCUCUGCCAACCCUAGAGAUAGGGCGUUCCCCUUCGGGGGACAGAGUGACAGGUGGUGCAUGGUUGUCGUCAGCUCGUGUCGUGAGAUGUUGGGUUAAGUCCCGCAACGAGCGCAACCCUUGAUCUUAGUUGCCAGCAUUCAGUUGGGCACUCUAAGGUGACUGCCGGUGACAAACCGGAGGAAGGUGGGGAUGACGUCAAAUCAUCAUGCCCCUUAUGACCUGGGCUACACACGUGCUACAAUGGAUGGUACAAAGAGCUGCGAACCCGGCGGAGGGUAAGCGAAUCUCAUAAAGCGCGCCCUAGUUCGGAUUGCAGG